RNAcentral lists this ribosomal RNA (533 nucleotides) under Cryptorhynchinae gen. sp. ARC4820. RNAcentral's name for it is "partial 16S large subunit ribosomal RNA". It matches the Rfam family "Bacterial large subunit ribosomal RNA", at positions 1819 to 2625 of the family's 2925-position model. The record is from RNAcentral. Lineage: Eukaryota; Metazoa; Arthropoda; Insecta; Coleoptera; Curculionidae.
GGCUUAUUGUGUAUAAUUUUAGGUCUGACCUGCCCUAUGAUGAAAAUUAAAUGGCUGCGGUAAUUUGACCGUGCAAAGGUAGCAUAAUCAUUAGUUUUUUAAUUGAAAGCUUGUAUGAAAGGUUUGAUGAGAAAAUAGCUGUCUCUAUUUAAAAUUUAGAAUUUUAUUUUUAAGUAAAAAAGCUUAAAUAAUUAUAGAAGACGAGAAGACCCUAUAGAGUUUUAUAAUUAUUUAAAUAAUAGGUAUUUGGUAUUAUAAGAUUUAUUUAAAGAAUUAUUUAGUUGGGGUGAUUGAAAAAUUUAUUAAACUUUUUUUAUAUAAAAUCAUUAAUUUAUGAAUAAUUGAUCCUUAAUUUAAGAUUAAAAGAUAAAAUUACCUUAGGGAUAACAGCGUAAUUUUUUUUAGAGUUCUUAUCGAAAAAAAAGAUUGCGACCUCGAUGUUGGAUUAAAGUAAAUUUUGGGUGUAGAAGCUUAUAAAUUAGGUCUGUUCGACCUUUAAAACUUUACAUGAUCUGAGUUUAAACCGGUGUAAG